RNAcentral lists this ribosomal RNA (652 nucleotides) under Alteromonas macleodii. RNAcentral's name for it is "bacterial SSU rRNA". It matches the Rfam family "Bacterial small subunit ribosomal RNA", at positions 95 to 749 of the family's 1533-position model. Lineage: Bacteria; Pseudomonadati; Pseudomonadota; Gammaproteobacteria; Alteromonadales; Alteromonadaceae. The record is from RNAcentral.
GUGGCGGACGGGUGAGUAAUGCUUGGGAACUUGCCUUUGCGAGGGGGAUAACAGUUGGAAACGACUGCUAAUACCGCAUAAUGUCUUCGGACCAAACGGGGCUUCGGCUCCGGCGCAAAGAGAGGCCCAAGUGAGAUUAGCUAGUUGGUAAGGUAACGGCUUACCAAGGCGACGAUCUCUAGCUGUUCUGAGAGGAAGAUCAGCCACACUGGGACUGAGACACGGCCCAGACUCCUACGGGAGGCAGCAGUGGGGAAUAUUGCACAAUGGGGGGAACCCUGAUGCAGCCAUGCCGCGUGUGUGAAGAAGGCCUUCGGGUUGUAAAGCACUUUCAGUUGUGAGGAAAAGUUAGUAGUUAAUACCUGCUAGCCGUGACGUUAACAACAGAAGAAGCACCGGCUAACUCCGUGCCAGCAGCCGCGGUAAUACGGAGGGUGCGAGCGUUAAUCGGAAUUACUGGGCGUAAAGCGCACGCAGGCGGUUUGUUAAGCUAGAUGUGAAAGCCCCGGGCUCAACCUGGGAUGGUCAUUUAGAACUGGCAGACUAGAGUCUUGGAGAGGGGAGUGGAAUUCCAGGUGUAGCGGUGAAAUGCGUAGAUAUCUGGAGGAACAUCAGUGGCGAAGGCGACUCCCUGGCCAAAGACUGACGCUCA